RNAcentral lists this ribosomal RNA (50 nucleotides) under Russula foetens. Its description in RNAcentral is "partial 25S large subunit ribosomal RNA". The record is from RNAcentral. RNAcentral also lists the same sequence under 5 other names. Lineage: Eukaryota; Fungi; Basidiomycota; Agaricomycetes; Russulales; Russulaceae.
CCUUGACCUCAAAUCGGGUGAGACUACCCGCUGAACUUAAGCAUAUCAUA